RNAcentral lists this ribosomal RNA (464 nucleotides) under uncultured bacterium. RNAcentral describes it as "partial 16S ribosomal RNA". It matches the Rfam family "Bacterial small subunit ribosomal RNA", at positions 28 to 506 of the family's 1533-position model. The record is from RNAcentral.
GACGAACGCUGGCGGCGUGCUUAACACAUGCAAGUCGAACGGAAAGGCCCCUUUGGGGGUACUCGAGUGGCGAACGGGUGAGUAACACGUGAGUAACCUGCCCUUGACUUCGGGAUAACUUCAGGAAACUGGGGCUAAUACCGGAUAGGAAUCCUUGCUGCAUGGUGGGGGUUGGAAAGCUUCGGCGGUUUUGGAUGGACUCGCGGCUUAUCAGCUUGUUGGUGGGGUAGUGGCUUACCAAGGCUUUAACGGGUAGCCGGCCUGAGAGGGCGACCGGCCACAUUGGGACUGAGAUACGGCCCAGACUCCUACGGGAGGCAGCAGUGGGGAAUAUUGCACAAUGGGCGGAAGCCUGAUGCAGCAACGCCGCGUGCGGGAUGACGGCCUUCGGGUUGUAAACCGCUUUCAGCAGGGGCGAAGCUUGUGGUGACGGUACCUGCAGAAGAAGCACCGGCUAACUACGU